GGAAUAUUGGUCAAUGGGCGCGAGCCUGAACCAGCCAAGUAGCGUGCAGGAUGACGGCCCUAUGGGUUGUAAACUGCUUUUAUGCGGGAAUAAAGUUCGGGACGUGUCCCGUUUUGCAUGUACCGCAUGAAUAAGGACCGGCUAAUUCCGUGCCAGCAGCCGCGGUAAUACGGAAGGUCCGGGCGUUAUCCGGAUUUAUUGGGUUUAAAGGGAGCGCAGGCUGAUGAUUAAGCGUGACGUGAAAUGUAGCCGCUCAACGGCUGAACUGCGUCGCGAACUGGUUAUCUUGAGUGAGUUCGAUGUUGGCGGAAUUCGUGGUGUAGCGGUGAAAUGCUUAGAUAUCACGAAGAACUCCGAUUGCGAAGGCAGCCAACAAGGCCUUUACUGACGCUAAAGCUCGAAGGUGCGGGUAUCGAACA
RNAcentral lists this ribosomal RNA (419 nucleotides) under uncultured Prevotella sp. RNAcentral describes it as "bacterial SSU rRNA". It matches the Rfam family "Bacterial small subunit ribosomal RNA", at positions 358 to 774 of the family's 1533-position model. Lineage: Bacteria; Pseudomonadati; Bacteroidota; Bacteroidia; Bacteroidales; Prevotellaceae. The record is from RNAcentral.